GAUAGAGGUUGCAUGUUCCAAGAGUACGGCGAGGGAUGCGUCAGGAGCAGUGGAAAUCGCCGGAAAGGGGAAGAUGCCGAAAGGAUGAGCCGCCUGAAAACUUGUCCUUGGGCAUGACGCGAACAGCGGCAUGACUGUCAUCACAGGAUGGAGCGCUAUCCGG
Molecule: non-coding RNA, 163 nt
Filed under: uncultured Mediterraneibacter sp.
Lineage: Bacteria; Bacillati; Bacillota; Clostridia; Lachnospirales; Lachnospiraceae
Description: Lysine riboswitch
Rfam family: Lysine riboswitch aptamer
About the family: Riboswitches are metabolite binding domains within certain messenger RNAs that serve as precision sensors for their corresponding targets. Allosteric rearrangement of mRNA structure is mediated by ligand binding, and this results in modulation of gene expression. This family includes riboswitches that sense lysine in a number of genes involved in lysine metabolism, including lysC.
Source: RNAcentral